Molecule: ribosomal RNA, 917 nt
Filed under: uncultured delta proteobacterium
Lineage: Bacteria; Deltaproteobacteria
Description: bacterial SSU rRNA
Rfam family: Bacterial small subunit ribosomal RNA
Source: RNAcentral
AAUGAACGCUGGCGGCGUGCUUAACACAUGCAAGUCGCACGAGAACUCUUUAGCUUGCUAAAGAUAGUAAAGUGGCGCACGGGUGAGUAACACGUGGGUAAUCUACCUCUGAAUCGGGGAUAACAUUGCGAAAGCGAUGCUAAUACCGGAUAAUAUCUUUUAAGCUUAAGCUUGUCAGAUCAAAGGUGGCCUCUACAUGUAAGCUACUGUUUGGAGAUGGGCCCGCGCACCAUUAGCUUGUUGGUGGGGUAAUGGCCCACCAAGGCAUCGAUGGUUAGCUGGUCUGAGAGGAUGAUCAGCCACACUGGAACUGACACACGGUCCAGACUCCUACGGGAGGCAGCAGUGAGGAAUUUUGCGCAAUGGGGGAAACCCUGACGCAGCAACGCCGCGUGAGUGAUGAAGGCCUUCGGGUCGUAAAGCUCUGUCAAGUGGGAAGAACCUGCUUUAUGCUAAUACCAUAUUGCACUGACGGUACCACUGAAGGAAGCACCGGCUAACUCCGUGCCAGCAGCCGCGGUAAUACGGAGGGUGUGUGCGUUAUUCGGAAUUAUUGGGCGUAAAGAGCGCGUAGGCGGUUUUUUAAGUCAGGUGUGAAAGCCCGAGGCUUAACCUCGGAAGUGCAUUUGAAACUAAGAGACUUGAGUAUGGGAGAGGGAAGUGGAAUUCCUGGUGUAGAGGUGAAAUUCGUAGAUAUCAGGAGGAACACCGGUGGCGAAGGCGACUUCCUGGACCAAUACUGACGCUGAGGCGCGAAGGCGUGGGGAGCAAACAGGAUUAGAUACCCUGGUAGUCCACGCAGUAAACGGUGAACACUAGGUAUAGCGGGUAUUGACCCCUGCUGUGCCGGAGCUAACGCAUUAAGUGUUCCGCCUGGGGAGUACGACCGCAAGGUUAAAACUCAAAGGGAUUGACGG